GUGGGGAGGGGGCUAGGCGGAGGCUGGAAGGCUGGCCCCCGCCCUGGGUCGAGGAAGGAGCGGGCUGGAGGCCCGGGCUCGCCUGGAAACUUAGAUUCUUGGUAUGGUUGGAGAUCUGAGGAGUGUCUUGCAACUGACAUGAUUGUAAAAGUUUUUUUUUUUUAAACGUAUGAAAUGAAACCUCUACUUCAAUCCUCCUACUGCGUACAGUCGCCAAUGUCAACAGUUCUCAUCCACAUGAGCAUGGGCUUCAUGAUCCUGGCCGUGAUCCUGGCUCUAGUUCUCCUCCUGGCCAUGGGCUUCUCCUUCCGGCCAGCACUCCGCCGUCUUAACAAGACUGACCUCGUCUUCAGUACCCUCAGCUCCUUCACUGUCAUGCAGGAUGGGAGAGGAUGUCUCUGGCUCGCUUCUCUUUCUGGAGGUCUCUGGGUCCCUGUCCAGCCUCGUGUCCAUCUCUGGCCCCAUCUCAGUGCAGGGCUCCUGAUUCUCCUCAGCCUGACGCUCUUUAUAGCCAACUGCGAGAUGCUCAAACCGAGGCCACAGGUAUCCUACCUGGUGACCACCUACCUGAGCUGGGGUGCCAGCGCCUUGAUGCUGUGGGCCGGUGAGGGCGGGGUCUCGGCAGGGCAGGGGGUGGGGCCCCGGGCGAGCGUACCAGGCAGGGCCUCGGACCGGAUUGGGGUGGACCCCACGGGAGGUCAGCCUACAGGGAAGGGCCGGGGCCUAGGGGGCCAUCUAGCAGCUCCACUCCCGCCCCCAGGAAUCCUGAGCUACUUAAACUACAUGGGCAUGUGGGGCAAAGGGACGUCCUCCACGGAACGGCGGAUGAGCUACCGCCGGUGGGCCUCGCUGCAGAACACCCGGAAGUCCAUAUCCGAACAGCUGUCGUCGGACGCAGGCUCCAAGCACGCCGAGGAC
Molecule: long non-coding RNA, 918 nt
Filed under: Bos mutus (wild yak)
Lineage: Eukaryota; Metazoa; Chordata; Mammalia; Artiodactyla; Bovidae
Description: lncRNA (ENSBMUG00000019625.1)
Source: RNAcentral